UGCGAUGUGUACAGUUUUGGAAUUUGCCUGUGGGAGAUAUACUGCUGUGACAUGCCAUAUCCAGACCUCAGUUUCUCGGAAGUGACAUCUGCUGUUGUCCGACAGAAUCUGAGGCCAGAAAUACCCCGUUGUUGCCCAAGCUCUUUUGCCAAUGUAAUGAAGCGAUGCUGGGAUGCAAAUCCCUACAAGCGGCCUGAAAUGGAGGAGGUUGUGUCCAUGUUAGCAGCAAUCGACACAUCCAAGGGUGGAGGUAUGCUCCCUGUAGAUCAACCUCAAGGCUGUCUCUGUUUCCGCAGGUACCGUGGGCCGUAAAUGUUGUUUCCAGGAUUGUGGGACAGUAUAUUCUAAAGUUUGAAUUGGUAUCUUAUUCAUUUGAAGAUACUGGGAGGUGGUUAUGGUAAACUGCGGAGGCUAGAAGCUAAGAGGAGCCCUGCAGCAACUGUUUCUUUAUCAGAUAAAGCAUUCUGUAAAGCUCUUCUUUUUCUUUUACCUUGUUCUUGCUCUGAUUUGUAAGAAACAUGCAUCUUAUUUGACUGGCCAACAUACAAAUGACAAAUUUGAAUCUGUUCACUUUCUAUCAGCAG
This 584-nucleotide unclassified non-coding RNA is filed under the name Hevea brasiliensis (rubber tree). The record is from RNAcentral. Lineage: Eukaryota; Viridiplantae; Streptophyta; Magnoliopsida; Malpighiales; Euphorbiaceae.